CCACGGUGUUUGCUCUACAGGUAUGAUUUUACCCUCAAAAUGUAGCCAUCGCUGUCCUCUUUCAUCCAAUGUGUUUACUAUUGUACUAGGUGUUAUGGUUCUUUCAUAAAUGUCACCAAAGCACAGCCUCCUCCCUCCAACUCCUCCAUAGACUCUAAUGUUAAAAUGGCUCAGAAGGUUCGUUUGAAAACCAGAAGUACAGGCUGUCUUUACACUGUCACCACGUCCAUAUAAUAAACUCCACAAGCAUGAAAACUGAGAAUUAGGUAGACUGGACAUUGCUGUCGCUCACGGUGAAAGAAUUUUGUCAAUAGGACCUGUACUUUUCAUUUGGGAGCGAUUUGUUUCGACCUGACUUUUCUAUUCAUUUUAAGCAGCAAAAGUG
Molecule: long non-coding RNA, 385 nt
Organism: Oreochromis aureus
Lineage: Eukaryota; Metazoa; Chordata; Actinopteri; Cichliformes; Cichlidae
Source: Ensembl